UGUGGUAUUAAUUCGAUGCAACGCGAAAAACCUUACCUACCUUGACAUGUCCAGAAGCCCGAAGAGUAUUUGGGUGUGACCCGAAGGAGCUGGAACACAGGUGCUGCAUGGCUGUCGUCAGCUCGUGUCGUGAGAUGUUGGGUUAAGUCCCGCAACGAGCGCAACCCUUGUCGUUAAUUGCCAUCAUUCAGUUGGGCACUUUAACGAGACUGCCGGUGACAAACCGGAGGAAGGUGGGGAUGACGUCAAGUCCUCAUGGCCCUUAUGGGUAGGGCUUCACACGUCAUACAAUGGUCGGUACAGAGGGUUGCCAAGCCGCGAGGUGGAGCCAAUCCCAGAAAGCCGAUCGUAGUCCGGAUUGCAGGCUGCAACUCGCCUGCAUGAAGUCGGAAUCGCUAGUAAUCGCGGAUCAGCAUGUCGCGGUGAAUACGUUCCCGGGUCUUGUACACACCGCCCGUCACACCAUGGGAGCGGGUUCCGCCAGAAGUAGGUAGCCU
This 497-nucleotide ribosomal RNA is filed under the name uncultured bacterium. RNAcentral describes it as "bacterial SSU rRNA". It matches the Rfam family "Bacterial small subunit ribosomal RNA", at positions 940 to 1436 of the family's 1533-position model. The record is from RNAcentral.